This 412-nucleotide ribosomal RNA is filed under the name uncultured soil bacterium. RNAcentral describes it as "bacterial SSU rRNA". It matches the Rfam family "Bacterial small subunit ribosomal RNA", at positions 26 to 451 of the family's 1533-position model. The record is from RNAcentral.
AGAUUGAACGCUGGCGGCAUGCCUAACACAUGCAAGUCGAACGGGAGUAGCAAUACUCUAGUGGCGGACGGGUGAGGAAUACGUAGGAAUUUGCCCUUAAGUGGGGGAUAACCCGGGGAAACCCGGAUUAAUACCGCAUGACCUCGAAAGAGCGAAGUGGGGGAUCGCAAGACCUCACGCUUUUGGAGAAGCCUACGUCGGAUUAGCUAGUUGGUGAGGUAAUGGCUCACCAAGGCGACGAUCCGUAACUGGUCUGAGAGGAUGAUCAGUCACACCGGAACUGAGACACGGUCCGGACUCCUACGGGAGGCAGCAGUGGGGAAUAUUGGACAAUGGGCGCAAGCCUGAUCCCGCAAUGCCGCGUGUGUGAAAGAAGGCCUCGGUUGUUAAAGACGUACUUAAGUUAGGGUAA